Molecule: signal recognition particle RNA, 233 nt
Filed under: Lachnospiraceae bacterium
Lineage: Bacteria; Bacillati; Bacillota; Clostridia; Lachnospirales; Lachnospiraceae
Description: signal recognition particle sRNA large type
Rfam family: Bacterial large signal recognition particle RNA
About the family: The signal recognition particle (SRP) is a universally conserved ribonucleoprotein involved in the co-translational targeting of proteins to membranes.
Source: RNAcentral
CAGGGACUGUAGGAGAGGCCACGGAUCUUUUUGACAGUGCCGGCAUCAUAAUAUAGAAUAAUAAUUCGGCUGGCCGGGUCUGUGGUGUUGACUCUCCGGUCCCGCGCAAUGAGAGCCCACGAACCGUGUCAGGUCGGGAACGAAGCAGCACUAAGAGGUGUCUUUCAUGUGACGCGGGGUACCCGGAGAAGAGCCUAGGGUCCGGUCAGCCACCUUUUUUAUCAGCGUUUCUG